CCUACGGGAGGCAGCAGUGGGGAAUAUUGCGCAAUGGGCGAAAGCCUGACGCAGCGACGCCGCGUGGGGGAUGAAGGCCUUCGGGUUGUAAACCCCUUUCAGCAGGGACGAAGCGAGAGUGACGGUACCUGCAGAAGAAGCGCCGGCUAACUACGUGCCAGCAGCCGCGGUAACACGUAGGGCGCAAGCGUUGUCCGGAAUUAUUGGGCGUAAAGAGCUCGUAGGCGGUCUGUUGCGUCUGCUGUGAAAACCCGGGGCUUAACCCCUGGCUUGCAGUGGAUACGGACAGACUAGAGGUAGGUAGGGGAGAAUGGAAUUCCCGGUGUAGCGGUGAAAUGCGCAGAUAUCGGGAGGAACACCGGUGGCGAAGGCGGUUCUCUGGGCCUUACCUGACGCUGAGGAGCGAAAGCGUGGGGAGCGAACAGGAUUAGAUACCCUGGUAGUCCACGCUGUAAUCGUUGGGCGCUAGGUGUGGGGUCCUUCCACGGAUUCCGUGCCGCAGCUAACGCAUUAAGCGCCCCGCCUGGGGAGUACGGCCGCAAGGCUAAAACUCAAAGGAAUUGACGG
RNAcentral lists this ribosomal RNA (567 nucleotides) under uncultured bacterium. RNAcentral describes it as "bacterial SSU rRNA". It matches the Rfam family "Bacterial small subunit ribosomal RNA", at positions 338 to 916 of the family's 1533-position model. The record is from RNAcentral.